Long non-coding RNA from Brassica napus (rape), 1109 nucleotides. RefSeq lists it as uncharacterized. Lineage: Eukaryota; Viridiplantae; Streptophyta; Magnoliopsida; Brassicales; Brassicaceae. The record is from RefSeq and is a predicted model, not a curated record. The transcript has 4 exons.
UUUUUUUUUCCGUGAUCGUGCAUAUUUCAAUAUAUAUACAAAUUUUAGGAUUGUAAUUUGUCACAUGUUUAGUUGGUUGAAAUCAAUCCCAACUUGGCGAUUCUAAAUUAUAUCGACCAAUUAAUAUUGAAAGUGUUACUCUCGAGGUCAAGAGCUUGUAAUUUGUUGGUGGAUCCGUUCCUGGUCAUUGAACAGCUUUAAAAGUUAUCAACGCAACCUUCAUUUCUUGAACACUAAAAAUAUAUCGCCCUUUACAAACAUAAUUUGCAACACACUUGAUUUUUAACAUAAGUAUAGAAAAAUUGUCAUAAAAACAUAAGUAUAAAAUAUAUUAACAGAGACUACGCAUAACUGUGCAGGAGACGUUUAGAAAACAAGGGGGGCGUUACUAACUUUCUAAGAGCAACAUUAUCGGGGUAUGAUAGAGGAAGUCGUUAGGCUUUAUAUGAUUUUAUUUAAAUAAAAAUUGUAUAAUUUCGCUGGGACGGACGCGGUUUGUCGUUGGCUAACAUAUUUUUUUUUUGUCCUUAGGUGAUAGGUGUCGGCAAGGGAAUGGUGGAAGCGUUUUGGUUUGAGAAAUGAUUCACGUGUUGCCCUUUGGGCCUUGUCUCUUUGAGAAGAGAGAGAGAGAGAGUUGAAGAUCGAUGGCGGAAGGCGCGAUGAUCCCCAGCAACUGAAGAAGGGAAGCCAUAGCUUCAGGCAGAGGCUACUUCUCUGGACCCUUUCUUCGACGCCUAUCAUCAGGCAGAGGCUGAAUCCUAGCCUCCAACAUCACGAGAUGUCUCUCCUCCGCCUCUUCGAGACUGUCUCCGAUGACUGCGUCACACUUGCCCUCAUCCAGAUUAAAUUGACUGAUGUUACUGAUCCCAUGGUCAAUGAGAAGGUUGCUGAUCGGGUAGGAGAGGAUUUAGAAGGAGUUACCCACAAAGUUUACUUUGAUAUUCAGAUCAAUGGUUCACCUGAAUGAGUUACCCACAAAGUUUACUUUGUCCCCUCUUCUUCAUUGGGCGUAGAGGGAAAGAUUGUGGUUGAGCUGAUUUUGCUGGGCAAAUCUGGAUGCAGGGGCAAACAUUAUCUGAUUUUUUCUUAAUUGUUCUGAUCUUUUUUUU